AGUGAACGCUGGCGGCGUGCUUAACACAUGCAAGUCGAACGAGAACGGAAUAUAGCUUGCUAUAUUUGUCAGCUAAGUGGCGCACGGGUGAGUAAUGUAUAGAUAACCUGCCCUUAAGAAAGGAAUAACAGUUGGAAACGACUGCUAAUGCCCUAUAUGCCUUUAAUACAUAAGUAUGCAAGGGAAACGCUUUAGUGCUUAAGGAUGGGUCUGUAUGGUAUCAGCUUGUUGGUGAGGUAAUGGCUCACCAAGGCUAUGACGCCUAACUGGUUUGAGAGGAUGGUCAGUCACACUGGAACUGAGACACGGUCCAGACUUCUACGGGAGGCAGCAGUGGGGAAUAUUGCACAAUGGACGAAAGUUUGAUGCAGCAACGCCGCGUGGAGGAUGACACAUUUCGGUGCGUAAACUCCUUUUAUAUAGGAAGAUAAUGACGGUACUAUAUGAAUAAGCACCGGCUAACUCUGUGCCAGCCGCCGCGGUAA
Molecule: ribosomal RNA, 485 nt
Filed under: uncultured bacterium
Lineage: Bacteria
Description: partial 16S ribosomal RNA
Rfam family: Bacterial small subunit ribosomal RNA
Source: RNAcentral